GCAGGGCUGAAGGGGAGUAGCUUUAGCAGAUGGUAGAGAUGUUCUGCAUGCAGAGAUAAUCUAUCAGAGUAACAAUGCUUUUCCAUAGCUUUUUGAUAGCUUUUCCACACUGUAAAGAUGGCUUUUUUUCCUUAAUGCAUAAAUGUAUGUAAUAGAAUUGCCAUUGGGGAGGGAAGUGUAAACCAGACUUGGUCAUUUUUUCUCCAGUGAGCUCAGGAAAAAGUAAAUUGUUGAAUCAAAUUGUUCAUGUGUAGGGUUG
RNAcentral lists this long non-coding RNA (259 nucleotides) under Bos taurus (domestic cattle). RNAcentral's name for it is "long non-coding RNA NONBTAT023368". The record is from RNAcentral. Lineage: Eukaryota; Metazoa; Chordata; Mammalia; Artiodactyla; Bovidae.